CGGUGGAGUAUGUGGUUAAUUCGAUGCAACGCGAAGAACCUUACCUGGUCUUGACAUCCCGGAGACCCUUAGGAAACUAGGGGGUGCUUCCAUCUGGAAGAAUCUGGAGACAGGUGCUGCAUGGCUGUCGUCAGCUCGUGUCGUGAGAUGUUGGGUUAAGUCCCGCAACGAGCGCAACCCUUGCCUUUAGUUGCCAGCAGUUCGGCUGGGCACUCUAAAGGGACUGCCGGUGUUAAACCGGAGGAAGUGGGGAUGACGUCAAGUCCUCAUGGCCUUUAUGACCAGGGCUACACACGUACUACAAUGGCCGAUACAAAGGGCAGCGACACUGCGAGGUGAAGCCAAUCCCGUAAAAUCGGUCUCAGUCCGGAUUGGAGUCUGCAACUCGACUCCAUGAAGUUGGAAUCGCUAGUAAUCGUGGAUCAGCAUGCCACGGUGAAUACGUUCCCGGGCCUU
This 456-nucleotide ribosomal RNA is filed under the name uncultured Desulfobulbus sp. RNAcentral's name for it is "bacterial SSU rRNA". It matches the Rfam family "Bacterial small subunit ribosomal RNA", at positions 930 to 1382 of the family's 1533-position model. The record is from RNAcentral. Lineage: Bacteria; Pseudomonadati; Thermodesulfobacteriota; Desulfobulbia; Desulfobulbales; Desulfobulbaceae.